AACGAACGCUGGCGGCAUGCCUAACACAUGCAAGUCGAACGAGACCUUCGGGUCUAGUGGCGCACGGGUGCGUAACGCGUGGGAACCUGCCCUUAGGUUCGGAAUAACUCCCCGAAAGGUGUGCUAAUACCGGCUAAUGUCUUCGGACCAAAGAUUUAUCGCCUUUGGAUGGGCCCGCGUUGGAUUAGCUAGUUGGUAGGGUAAAAGCCUACCAAGGCGACGAUCCAUAGCUGGUCUGAGAGGAUGAUCAGCCACACUGGGACUGAGACACGGCCCAGACUCCUACGGGAGGCAGCAGUGGGGAAUAUUGGACAAUGGGCGAAAGCCUGAUCCAGCAAUGCCGCGUGAGUGAUGAAGGCCUUAGGGUUGUAAAGCUCUUUUACCCGGGAUGAUAAUGACAGUACCGGGAGAAUAAGCUCCGGCUAACUCCGUG
This 433-nucleotide ribosomal RNA is filed under the name uncultured bacterium. RNAcentral's name for it is "partial 16S ribosomal RNA". It matches the Rfam family "Bacterial small subunit ribosomal RNA", at positions 29 to 507 of the family's 1533-position model. The record is from RNAcentral.